AUUGAACGCUGGCGGCAUGCCUUACACAUGCAAGUCGAACGGUAACAGGUCUUCGGAUGCUGACGAGUGGCGAACGGGUGAGUAAUACAUCGGAACGUGCCCGAUCGUGGGGGAUAACGGAGCGAAAGCUUUGCUAAUACCGCAUACGAUCUACGGAUGAAAGCAGGGGACCGCAAGGCCUUGCGCGGACGGAGCGGCCGAUGGCAGAUUAGGUAGUUGGUGGGAUAAAAGCUUACCAAGCCGACGAUCUGUAGCUGGUCUGAGAGGACGACCAGCCACACUGGGACUGAGACACGGCCCAGACUCCUACGGGAGGCAGCAGUGGGGAAUUUUGGACAAUGGGCGCAAGCCUGAUCCAGCCAUGCCGCGUGCAGGAUGAAGGCCUUCGGGUUGUAAACUGCUUUUGUACGGUAACGAAAGACUCUUUCUAAUAAAGAGGGUCCAUGACGGUACCGUAAGAAUAAGCACCGGCUAACUACGUGCCAGCAGCCGCGGUAAGG
RNAcentral lists this ribosomal RNA (500 nucleotides) under uncultured bacterium. RNAcentral describes it as "bacterial SSU rRNA". It matches the Rfam family "Bacterial small subunit ribosomal RNA", at positions 30 to 525 of the family's 1533-position model. The record is from RNAcentral.